This 385-nucleotide unclassified non-coding RNA is filed under the name uncultured Phycisphaeraceae bacterium. Its description in RNAcentral is "contains 16S-23S intergenic spacer region". The record is from RNAcentral. Lineage: Bacteria; Pseudomonadati; Planctomycetota; Phycisphaerae; Phycisphaerales; Phycisphaeraceae.
UCCGGUUUGACACCGGCAGUCUCGCUAGAGUCCUCAGCAUUACCUGUUAGCAACUAGCGACAAGGGUUGCGCUCGUUAAGGGACUUAACCCGACACUUCACAGCACGAGCUGACGACAGCCAUGCAGCACCUGUGCACGUUCCACCCUUGCGGGCGUGGCUCCCCUUUCAGGGAGUUAAUCCGUGCAUGUCAAACCCGGGUAAGGUUCUUCGCGUUGCUUCGAAUUAAGCAACAUGCUCCACCGCUUGUGUGAGCCCCCGUCAAUUCCUUUGAGUUUUAGCCUUGCGACCGUACUCCCCAGGCGGCGCACUUAGCAAUUUCUCUGCGACCAGAACGACGUCAGAGCCGCUCCGGUCUAGUGCGCAUCGUUUAGGGCGUGGACUAC